AGGACUAUAGCUCAGCUGGUUAGAGCGCACGCCUGAUAAGCGUGAGGUCGGUGGUUCGAGUCCACUUAGUCCUACCA
RNAcentral lists this transfer RNA (77 nucleotides) under Senegalia massiliensis. Its description in RNAcentral is "tRNA-Ile". It matches the Rfam family "tRNA". Rfam says of the family: Transfer RNA (tRNA) molecules are approximately 80 nucleotides in length. Lineage: Bacteria; Bacillati; Bacillota; Clostridia; Eubacteriales; Clostridiaceae. RNAcentral also lists the same sequence under 1 other name. The record is from RNAcentral.